Molecule: ribosomal RNA, 1699 nt
Filed under: Escherichia coli
Lineage: Bacteria; Pseudomonadati; Pseudomonadota; Gammaproteobacteria; Enterobacterales; Enterobacteriaceae
Description: partial 23S ribosomal RNA
Rfam family: Bacterial large subunit ribosomal RNA
Source: RNAcentral
UGAGGCAUGCUGGAGGUAUCAGAAGUGCGAAUGCUGACAUAAGUAACGAUAAAGCGGGUGAAAAGCCCGCUCGCCGGAAGACCAAGGGUUCCUGUCCAACGUUAAUCGGGGCAGGGUGAGUCGACCCCUAAGGCGAGGCCGAAAGGCGUAGUCGAUGGGAAACAGGUUAAUAUUCCUGUACUUGGUGUUACUGCGAAGGGGGGACGGAGAAGGCUAUGUUGGCCGGGCGACGGUUGUCCCGGUUUAAGCGUGUAGGCUGGUUUUCCAGGCAAAUCCGGAAAAUCAAGGCUGAGGCGUGAUGACGAGGCACUACGGUGCUGAAGCAACAAAUGCCCUGCUUCCAGGAAAAGCCUCUAAGCAUCAGGUAACAUCAAAUCGUACCCCAAACCGACACAGGUGGUCAGGUAGAGAAUACCAAGGCGCUUGAGAGAACUCGGGUGAAGGAACUAGGCAAAAUGGUGCCGUAACUUCGGGAGAAGGCACGCUGAUAUGUAGGUGAAGUCCCUCGCGGAUGGAGCUGAAAUCAGUCGAAGAUACCAGCUGGCUGCAACUGUUUAUUAAAAACACAGCACUGUGCAAACACGAAAGUGGACGUAUACGGUGUGACGCCUGCCCGGUGCCGGAAGGUUAAUUGAUGGGGUCAGCGCAAGCGAAGCUCUUGAUCGAAGCCCCGGUAAACGGCGGCCGUAACUAUAACGGUCCUAAGGUAGCGAAAUUCCUUGUCGGGUAAGUUCCGACCUGCACGAAUGGCGUAAUGAUGGCCAGGCUGUCUCCACCCGAGACUCAGUGAAAUUGAACUCGCUGUGAAGAUGCAGUGUACCCGCGGCAAGACGGAAAGACCCCGUGAACCUUUACUAUAGCUUGACACUGAACAUUGAGCCUUGAUGUGUAGGAUAGGUGGGAGGCUUUGAAGUGUGGACGCCAGUCUGCAUGGAGCCGACCUUGAAAUACCACCCUUUAAUGUUUGAUGUUCUAACGUGGACCCGUGAUCCGGGUUGCGGACAGUGUCUGGUGGGUAGUUUGACUGGGGCGGUCUCCUCCUAAAGAGUAACGGAGGAGCACGAAGGUUGGCUAAUCCUGGUCGGACAUCAGGAGGUUAGUGCAAUGGCAUAAGCCAGCUUGACUGCGAGCGUGACGGCGCGAGCAGGUGCGAAAGCAGGUCAUAGUGAUCCGGUGGUUCUGAAUGGAAGGGCCAUCGCUCAACGGAUAAAAGGUACUCCGGGGAUAACAGGCUGAUACCGCCCAAGAGUUCAUAUCGACGGCGGUGUUUGGCACCUCGAUGUCGGCUCAUCACAUCCUGGGGCUGAAGUAGGUCCCAAGGGUAUGGCUGUUCGCCAUUUAAAGUGGUACGCGAGCUGGGUUUAGAACGUCGUGAGACAGUUCGGUCCCUAUCUGCCGUGGGCGCUGGAGAACUGAGGGGGGCUGCUCCUAGUACGAGAGGACCGGAGUGGACGCAUCACUGGUGUUCGGGUUGUCAUGCCAAUGGCACUGCCCGGUAGCUAAAUGCGGAAGAGAUAAGUGCUGAAAGCAUCUAAGCACGAAACUUGCCCCGAGAUGAGUUCUCCCUGACCCUUUAAGGGUCCUGAAGGAACGUUGAAGACGACGACGUUGAUAGGCCGGGUGUGUAAGCGCAGCGAUGCGUUGAGCUAACCGGUACUAAUGAACCGUGAGGCUUAACCUUACAACGCCGAAGGUGUUU